Molecule: ribosomal RNA, 221 nt
Filed under: uncultured bacterium
Lineage: Bacteria
Description: partial 16S ribosomal RNA
Rfam family: Bacterial small subunit ribosomal RNA
Source: RNAcentral
CGGCGGACGGCUGAGUAACGCGUAGGAACAUACCCCGAAGUGAGGGAUAACUGCCCGAAAGGGUAGCUAAUACCGCAUAUGGUCUAAGGAUUAAAGCUUCGGCGCUUUGGGAAUGGCCUGCGUCCGAUUAGCUAGUUGGUGAGAUAAAAGCCCACCAAGGCGACGAUCGGUAGCUGGUCUGAGAGGAUGAUCAGCCAGACUGGAACUGAGACACGGUCCAG